UGCUGCAUGUACAUUAUACCAUUUGUAUUUGUGCAAACAUUGGCGUGCUUUGCUGUAACAUCCCAAAUUUCAAAACCCUUCAUAUGCAUUGCAUAUCAUAAGCAUCAUGUCACCUUUGCAUUUGAUCACAUUUGAAAACCCUAAAAUUUACCGUGAGAAUCCCUAUUCAAAAGUGUUUUUAUUUGAUUUUGAGCUUUGAUCUUGCUUUCAAGCAUUUUUGUUUUAACCCAUGAAGGUAUUGGUAUAAAAAGGAAUUUAAUGCAUAUAUAAAGCUAUCCCAUAUGUUUGUCUUUUGAAAUUAUUUCGAAAAACAAUUUAUUUUGAUAUUCUAUAAGGCCCUAAAGGCUAUUCUAUAGUCAAAAGUAUUUUUAAAUAUUUUAUUUUGAGAAAUUUUUUAUUCCAGAAGUUAGAUCAUAUGAAGAUAUGAUUUUACAAAUUUUGUUGAAAUUUAUUUGGAGUGAUUUGGAGUUUUGAAUCAAUUCUGAGGUUCAAAAACAAAAAAUAGAAAAAAGAAAAAAAAAACCGAGCCGAACCGGACCGGACCGAACCGGCCCAGCCCGAGCCGCCAGACGCCCCCACUGACCAGCGGGCCCCCUCCUCCUUCUUCCUCCAACUGCACCCGAAGUUCACGGCCACGCACGAGUCCGCGUCGCGCACGAUUCCAUCCUGAUUUCUCCGCGCACGAGCCUCUACUCCCGAAACCCCGCGCGUCAUCUCGAGCCCCACCCUCUUCUCCUCCUUUUCCCCCAACUCCCACAGUCAAUUUCGCACCUUCAGCACCGGAAUUUCUCGCCGGAGCAAACCUUCGGGCGCCGCCAUUUUCGCGAAGCCGCCACCGCCCCGGUGAGUUCCGCGCACCGGCAACCCCCUCAUCCUUCUCCCCUCUCUCGCGCGCACUGUCUGACGCGUGCCGUUUUGUUUUUGGAGCUCCGCAGCGCCCCGUCGCCGGCCACCGCCAGCCGCCCGCGCCCGUCGUCCUACCGCGUCGUCCCCGAGCCGUCCCCGACCACACCGACCACGCCGUCCGCCGCCUCC
Molecule: long non-coding RNA, 1035 nt
Filed under: Brachypodium distachyon (stiff brome)
Lineage: Eukaryota; Viridiplantae; Streptophyta; Magnoliopsida; Poales; Poaceae
Description: long non-coding RNA (BDIS_LNC001379)
Source: RNAcentral